RNAcentral lists this small nuclear RNA (107 nucleotides) under Dasypus novemcinctus (nine-banded armadillo). Lineage: Eukaryota; Metazoa; Chordata; Mammalia; Cingulata; Dasypodidae. The record is from RNAcentral.
GUGCUCGCUUGGAUAGCACAUCCACUAAAAUAGCAAUGAUACAGAGAAGAUUAGCAUGGCCCCUGCUCAAGGUUGACAUGCAAAUUCAUGAAACAUUUCAUAUGUUA